RNAcentral lists this long non-coding RNA (1367 nucleotides) under Triticum aestivum (bread wheat). RNAcentral's name for it is "long non-coding RNA (TAES_LNC025534)". The record is from RNAcentral. Lineage: Eukaryota; Viridiplantae; Streptophyta; Magnoliopsida; Poales; Poaceae.
GCAAUUCGAUGUGGUAAACUACUUUUGGAGUCAGUUUCUUUGUAGAUCAUUUUGAUAUUCGCCUCACAUAGUAGGUAGCUCCUAAAUCUGAGCUGGUAGAUCCAGAAAAAAAUCCUAAAAGCCAUGACAUCAUAAUAUAUGUGGAAUCAAAUCAGUACAUAGUUGAGUUUAUUUGUGAGUAGAAUUAGCACUUGCUGCAUGGUAUAAGGAGAGAGAGAAAGACAUGAAGAUGACAAAACCCUCUCUAGUUAAUUAGGAUAAUCCAUGUAAUACAACAGUUUGGUUUACUUGAGAAACGAAGCAUCAAUCAUUGAUCAUGCCUGUUGGGAUAAAAGCAACAGUAACAGUUACCACUUGCUACAAAAUACAAAGAGAAACAUAAACACAUUAAGAUGAUGAAACUUGGCGUUCUAAUUUUCCUUGCUUCUGCAAUAGAACAGAUAGCUUGUCGUGUGGGUAUCAAUUCUGAAAUUUUAUCGAAACAUACAUUUAUCAUAUUAACUAUAUGAGUGCACCAACUGAUAAGCAAACCCAUAAAUUCGAUCACCUCUAAAUCAAGAGAUGAUGUUUAUUCUAUAUGCGCAACUAUCAAAAGCCUCACAUAGAGGGCAACUCCCUGGAUUUAGGUCAGAAGCCAAACUUCACAAUUUCUUGAACACAUAGAGCAACUCCCAGGAUUUAGGUGAGAAACCAAAAUUCACAAUUCCUCGACAAAUAGAGAGAAACUUGCAGGAUUCAGAAGGGGGUGGGAAGAAUUGGGAGAAAGCUGCAUGGUAUUUAUGCUGACCCCUUUGCGCUCAGAGGAUAGCUGGUGAUCAGCACGUCCUAAUUGAAGUCGGUGGCAAGUUCUAGGUCAUGCCGCUUGGGAGGAACAUGUAUGGUGGACGUCUAGCCACGAUGAACUUUUUCUUGUCAUGAUUACCUUUAGCCUGGCCGUCCCCUUCCAUCUAUGAUGGCAUCAAUGAUUACUCUCAUUCUCAAUGCGCUCCUGCAGGAACCUAGCAUGUAGCAAAUCCAGCGAGAUGCGCACGCACGCGCGCCUCCCUGAGAACAUGGGAGAGAAGAUAGGAGGUAUGAUGCACUUCGUGUGGCGGCAGCAACAUGAGCUCAGAGCUUUUUGUACAAAUCUGAGAGGAUGGCAAUGACCUGACAUCGAGAGAGAAAGAAAAGAGAAUACGUAGACAAUAGGAAUUGUGGAGAUGGGAGUAGAGAUCGGAAGAAAAACACACCUCAAGGAUAGCAGCGGAGAGUCCGAACAGAAGCGUCGCGCAGAGGAGAGCAGCGGCCGCCUAGCUUGAGAGCGCCAUGGAAGGGUCGUGUACGAAAGGGAGGAGAAAAGCACCGGCUAGAUCUAGGAUGGAGGUCUG